CCGAGUAGCUGGAACUACAGGCGCCCGCCAUGAUGCCCGGCUCAUUUUCUGUGUUUUCAGUAGAGACGGGGUUUCACUGUGUUAGCCAGGAAAGUCUUGAUCUCCUGACCUCGUGAUCCUGACCUCGGCCUCCCAAAGUGCUGGGAUUACAGGCGCGAGCCACCGCGCCCGACAGCAGUUAUGAAGUUCUAAAAGCAAGUCUUAAUCAGGAAGUGUCCUUGAUCACCAACGGCUCGCCCAGGCAUGCUGGCUCUCUUCCACUUCCACCUUCCACCAUGGGAUGACGCAGUAAGAAGGCCAUCAGUAGAUGCCAGUCCCUCAACCUUGAACUUUCCAGACGCAGAACUUUAUGCCUCCAUUUUCCUCUGCUGCAUGGCCCCAGGAGAGAUUUUAAUUAGCUUUCUAACCUUGGUCCAGAUUGCACAUGCAAAUGGUAGAGGAUGCAACACCCCCGCUUGUGGAGCUGCCGCUUGUGUCUGGCAUGAAAAUUCACAAGAAGAGAGGAAAUACUGAGGAGAAAAUGGCAGAUUGUGUUUGCUGAAUUUGAUUGACGAAGAAGUCACCAUGAAAAUCACAGUGAACCAUUUGGAAAGCAAACUGCCAAAAAAUAAUAGUUAGUCAUGCUCUCAGGCUGGUUGUUUUGGCUGUUGUGGGUUUCUUGCAUUUCCAGAUGAUUGCAAAGAGCUGUUUCUCAAUUUCUGCAACAAGUGCCAGCUGAAAUUUUGGUACCAGUUUCAUUAAAUAUGUAGAACAAUUUGAGCCUGAGUGAGUUCUGUGGAGCCCAUACUACCUGCGAUUCAAGCCAGCAACCUUGGAAUCUCCCUGAACAAUUUCUAUGGUGUCCAAUCACAUUUGCAAUCACUCCCCACACUCAGUAGGUUCUGCCCCCACAUCAUUUCUUUUCUCUAUCCUCUUUCCCAGCUUUAUAAUAUGACUUAGUUCAAGCCCUAAUCACUGGAUUAUUCAAAGUCCCUUAACAGGUUAAUUCCUACUGUGAUCAACACUUUAAAGGAAGGCAAUAGGGCCAGGCAUGGUGGCUCACGGCUGUAAUCCCAGCACUUUGGGAGGCUGAGGCGAGUGGAUCACAAGGUCGGGAGUUUGAGACCAGCCUGACUAACACAGUGAAACCCCGACUCUACUAAAAAUACAAAAAAUUAGCCAGGUGUGGUCGUGGGUACCUGUAGUCCCAGCUACUAGGGAGGCUGAGGCAGGAGAAUGGCGUGAACCCGAGAGGCGGAGCUUGCAGUGAGCCAAGAUUACGCCACUGCACUCCAGCCUGGGUGACGGAGCGAGACUCCAUCUCAAAAAAAAUAAAAAAUAAAUAAAACAGAAAGGCAAUGGCUAUCCCAAAUUGCUGAAGCCUUUGCUAAAAGCACAGACAGAAAACAACAAUAUGGUGAUGUUUGUGUUAAACAAAUGUUAUUGAUUCUAGGACACAGGUCAGAUGGCAAAUAGUCAAACUCAAAUGUUGAUCCCAGGGGUGGCUGUAUCAUCACUAAGGCCAAAUCACAACUUUGACUGGUCUCAUGGGAACACAGAUCUUGGGUUUGGAAAGAGCACAGGCCUGGCCAUGGGAAUGGACACAGGGUAAUUUUAAGAUGACUAGAGGUUCCUCAAACCCUAAAAGUACCACUGAACCUUGUUUAAAGCUAAAAUGGCUCCUAAAUGAUAGACACGUUUCUCAGUUAUCUCUGCAAACUGAAGAUCCUAUCAGCCUGUUCAGGGUCUCACAGGCCUCUGGGUUUGUACAUGAUGUCCCUACAGUGGCGAUGGGGACUGAUGAGAGCCACCGUUCCCAUUGGAGGAGGGCAAGCUGCCACUGAGUGUCAGCUGCUGGAGUAAACAUCCAAUCACAUGUGUACCUGUAUCCUAUGGAUAUUGGCUUCCCCUCAUACAACUUGUUGUUCCUUUGUUUUCCAUUCCUGACUAUAUUUGAAUCUUUCUUGGAUUUCCAGGAAACAUCUGACUGCUUUCCUAUGCCACUUCAUACCCAAGAGAAGCUCAGGGAGAUCCUUUAAGGUCCUUUAUGCCCAUUAUGAUAGUACAUGAAUAGGUAAAUGUACCACUGCUCCCUGUACUUCUUGGAUAAUGCACAAAUAGUAAGACAGUCUCGCAACCAGCAGCCUAGACAGCCCAAAUAUGUGAAACCAAAACAGCUUGAUCUUCCAGACCUGUUCUGACUCCUUGAGUCUUAAAUCUCCAAGCCUCUUGAAUGUUUCACCCACAGCCUUCCCUUUGGGAUCUGGCAUGGGACAGGAAGGGCAGAGAAGGGCCUGGGGCUUUUCCUCAGGGAUCCACCACAGUCUAGGCCAGUGGGUGGCAAACUUUUUCUGCAAAGGAUCAGCUGGGAGAUAGUUUCAACUUUGUAGUCUCGUCGCAGCUACUCUACUCGACUCUGCCACUGGAGUGUGAAUGCAGUCAUGAAUAAAAGAAUGAAAGUUUUCCAGUGAAACUUUAGUCACAAAAACAGUCUGCAGGCUGUGUCUGGCCCGUGGGCUUUGGUUUGCUGGCCUGCGGGCUCCUAGAAGGCUCUGACUUUAUCCCUCUAUGAGGGAAAGCAGGUUUUGGGGUAUUCUCCCAAAUCUUUAUACCUUAUGUCUGUGUCUCUUUUUAAAUUAAAAGUAAAAUUUAGGCC
This 2635-nucleotide long non-coding RNA is filed under the name Homo sapiens (human). Its description in RNAcentral is "non-protein coding lnc-NETO1-1:3". The record is from RNAcentral. Lineage: Eukaryota; Metazoa; Chordata; Mammalia; Primates; Hominidae.